Molecule: transfer RNA, 75 nt
Filed under: Thayeria boehlkei
Lineage: Eukaryota; Metazoa; Chordata; Actinopteri; Characiformes; Characidae
Description: tRNA-Leu
Rfam family: tRNA
About the family: Transfer RNA (tRNA) molecules are approximately 80 nucleotides in length. Their secondary structure includes four short double-helical elements and three loops (D, anti-codon, and T loops).
Source: RNAcentral
GUCGAGAUGGCAGAGCCCGGCAAAUGCAAAAGGCCUAAGCCCUUUUAUCCAAAGGUUCAAAUCCUUUUCUCAACU